AACGAACGCUGGCGGCAUGCCUAACACAUGCAAGUCGAACGAGACCUUCGGGUCUAGUGGCGCACGGGUGCGUAACGCGUGGGAACCUGCCCUUAGGUUCGGAAUAACUCCCCGAAAGGGGUGCUAAUACCGGAUAAUGUCUUCGGACCAAAGAUUUAUCGCCUUUGGAUGGGCCCGCGUUGGAUUAGCUAGUUGGUAGGGUAAAAGCCUACCAAGGCGACGAUCCAUAGCUGGUCUGAGAGGAUGAUCAGCCACACUGGGACUGAGACACGGCCCAGACUCCGACGGAGGGCAGCAGUGGGGAAUAUUGGAAAAUGGGCGAAAGCAUGACCCAGCAGUGCCGGGUGAGUGAUGAGGGCCUUAGGGUUGUAAAGCUCUUUUACCCGGGAUGAUAAUGACAGUACGGGGAAAAUAAGCCCCGGCUAACUCCGG
This 432-nucleotide ribosomal RNA is filed under the name uncultured bacterium. Its description in RNAcentral is "partial 16S ribosomal RNA". It matches the Rfam family "Bacterial small subunit ribosomal RNA", at positions 29 to 506 of the family's 1533-position model. The record is from RNAcentral.